This 578-nucleotide ribosomal RNA is filed under the name Leptolyngbya angustissima AUS-JR/AP/NT-081. Its description in RNAcentral is "bacterial SSU rRNA". It matches the Rfam family "Bacterial small subunit ribosomal RNA", at positions 187 to 782 of the family's 1533-position model. Lineage: Bacteria; Bacillati; Cyanobacteriota; Cyanophyceae; Leptolyngbyales; Leptolyngbyaceae. The record is from RNAcentral.
CGAUGUGCCGCAGGUGAAAGAUUUAUUGCCUGAAGAUGAGCUCGCGUCCGAUUAGCUAGUUGGAGUGGUAAGAGCACACCAAGGCGACGAUCGGUAGCUGGUCUGAGAGGAUGACCAGCCACACUGGGACUGAGACACGGCCCAGACUCCUACGGGAGGCAGCAGUGGGGAAUUUUCCGCAAUGGGCGAAAGCCUGACGGAGCAAGACCGCGUGAGGGAGGAAGGCUCUUGGGUUGUAAACCUCUUUUCUCUGGGAAGAAGAUCUGACGGUACCAGAGGAAUCAGCAUCGGCUAACUCCGUGCCAGCAGCCGCGGUAAUACGGAGGAUGCAAGCGUUAUCCGGAAUUAUUGGGCGUAAAGCGUCCGUAGGUGGCGGUUCAAGUCUGCCGUUAAAACCAGUAGCUUAACUACUGACAGGCGGUGGAAACUGAACAGCUAGAGUGUGGUAGGGGUAGAGGGAAUUCCCAGUGUAGCGGUGAAAUGCGUAGAGAUUGGGAAGAACACCGGUGGCGAAAGCGCUCUGCUGGACCACAACUGACACUCACAGGACGAAAGCUAGGGGAGCGAAAGGGAUUAGA